UUUCAUAAUGAAUUUGAUAUUUUUAUUCUUUAAUUACAGAUUCAGCCUUCAGUUUGUGUGUAUUUGAAAAUGGUAUUACAGUGAAUAAUUUGCUGAGCUAUGUUCUUUUUCAUGACACAGGCGCAAGAGGCCAUAUUUUGCUGAACCUUGCUUAUAACUCUGUAAUAUUAAUUAGAUUAUUUUAAAUGACUAUCCAUUUUUAUUGGGAAAGUGUUUUUAAUUGCUUAGUACAGCAAAAACAUAACCAUAUAAUUGGUAAUCAGUAACUGUGUCCAUGAAAAAUUCUUGCACUGUGAUGAAGACCUGCUUACGUCGGCAAUAUUCAUAUGUGCUUUCUCCUGCAGCCUUUAACAAUGACCUUGUGAGCCCUGCCUUUCUGUAUUCAGUUUAUACCUUCUUAGCUUCUGUUUACUUUUUUAUGUCCCACAGUAAAUACAUAUAUAAGUGAAGGAGGUGUUUUCACCAUUUUCUUGUUGCAAAACUGUAAAGAUAUUUGAUGUGACUCAAGUGCUGCCUCUAAGCCUUAUGAAACAUGAUUAUCAAUAUGAAAGACAGUUUCUCAAAGGAAGGAGCACUGCCAAAGGAAGUGUAAUUUCCACAGUUUAGUUAUGGCACUGAGGUGGUAACAGAGCUAGCCAACUUUUUUCCCGGGGGCUAAAAUAUAUUCCAAGGGAAGUGAAAUAAGAAACAUAAAAUGACAAAGAUAAAACGAGACGGGUCUGCUCUAAAAGGAGAUGUCAUUGCUUGAGUCUCAGUGCUCUUUGAUUGUUUUAGAGCAAACAGGAAACAUCUCCCCUUUUUUUGUUAAAGUCAGACUCUUAGUCUUGUCACAGUCAUUACAUUGUUUCUAUGCUGUUGUAGACAUACUUGAGGUAUUCUCACCUUUACCACUGAUUUUACAUUGUCAUAAUUUGAGUGGAAAAAGUGGAGUUGAUUCUGUUUAGAGCAGAAUGUCUUUAAAAUUAAAUGAUAUUUAGUCUUUUGAAAGAGUGAGGAAAAACAUGUCUCUAGGCACAGGUUAGAUAUUACUUGUACAUCAAAGACUCAGAGGAGAAAUACAGGCUUCACUCUUUUGCUAUUAAAGUACUACCAUCUAGAGUUAGAUGGGAAGUUUUGUCUCCUUUCUCCUCUAUGGACUAGCAACUCUUGUGGUGCACCACGGAUCAUCCUCUGUUGAAGAGCCAGGGGUCAUCUCAUAACUUUUAUUCAUUCUGACAGGCAGACACCUGCCCAAAAUACAGCUCCUAUAAAGCUCAGGCAAACGUUAAAACCCAAAACAUUUCCAGCCAGGAAUAGCAAGCUGCUGUGCUAAGACUCCAAAUACCAAAACUACACAUUUAGACAAUUCCAAAUACGGUGUAGUUUUUUCUUUUUUUUUCCAAUUUCUCAGCUCUUUAUUUUCUCCAGAGAAAAAUAAAUAACAAAAUAGUAUAUUUUGCCUAACCAAUAGCAUUUUGAUUGUGUGUCUGUCACUGAACUCAUACGUGUUUCAUAAAACAAUGCUUCC
Molecule: long non-coding RNA, 1507 nt
Filed under: Strigops habroptila (Kakapo)
Lineage: Eukaryota; Metazoa; Chordata; Aves; Psittaciformes; Psittacidae
Description: lncRNA (ENSSHBG00005002826.1)
Source: RNAcentral